UACGGGGGGGUGCGAGCGUUGUCCGGAAUCACUGGGCGUAAAGGGCGCGUAGGUGGUUUGUCGCGUCUGCCGUGAAAGUCCGGGGCUUAACCCCCGGAUCUGCGGUGGGUACGGGCAGACUAGAGUGAUGUAGGGGGAGACUGGAAUUCCUGGUGUAGCGGUGAAAAUGCGCAGAUAUCAGGAGGAACACCGAUGGCGAAGGCAGGUCUCUGGGCAUUAACUGACGCUGAGGAGCGAAAAGCAUGGGGGAG
Molecule: ribosomal RNA, 251 nt
Filed under: uncultured bacterium
Lineage: Bacteria
Description: partial 16S ribosomal RNA
Rfam family: Bacterial small subunit ribosomal RNA
Source: RNAcentral